Molecule: ribosomal RNA, 570 nt
Filed under: uncultured fungus
Lineage: Eukaryota; Fungi
Description: eukaryotic LSU rRNA
Rfam family: 5.8S ribosomal RNA (bases 246-400)
Source: RNAcentral
AGUUUGGUAGAUCGUAGGGAUUGUCGCUGGCCUUUGGAAACGAAGGCAUGUGCACGUUCCGAGUUCUCCUUAGUCCUCCUUUGCCUUUCCUUUGGAAAACCCUUUCUUCACACCCGUGCACACAUUGUAGGUCUCCGCGAGGGGAUCUAUGUCUUCAUAAAACUCUACGUAUGUCCAGGAAUGUAUCUAAAGCGUCGAACGGCUUGGCUCCAUGCCCGGUCGUCGACGGUAAAGAACCAUAAUACAACUUUCAGCAACGGAUCUCUUGGCUCUCGCAUCGAUGAAGAACGCAGCGAAUUGCGAUAAGUAAUGUGAAUUGCAGAUUUUCAGUGAAUCAUCGAAUCUUUGAACGCACCUUGCGCUCCUUGGUAUUCCGAGGAGCAUGCCUGUUCGAGUGUCAUUUAAUUCUCAACCAUCCCUCGAUUCGUUUCGAGGUUUGGCUUGGAUUUUGGGGGCUGCCGGCGACCCUCGGGUCUUCGGCUCUCCUUAAAAGCAUUAGCGAUGGCGGCGCGAUCUGACCAUGCAUGAACGGCCUUCGACGUGAUAAUGAUCGUCGUGGCUGGAGUGCUA